CAAAGGAGCAAUCCGCUGAAAGAUGGGCUCGCGUCCGAUUAGGUAGUUGGCGGGGCAACGGCCCACCAAGCCGACGAUCGGUAGCCGGACUGAGAGGUUGAACGGCCACAUUGGGACUGAGACACGGCCCAGACUCCUACGGGAGGCAGCAGUGAGGGAUAUUGGUCAAUGGGGGAAACCCUGAACCAGCAACGCCGCGUGAGGGAAGACGGUUUUCGGAUUGUAAACCUCUGUCCUCUGUGAAGAUGAUGACGGUAGCAGAGGAGGAAGCUCCGGCUAACUACGUGCCAGCAGCCGCGGUAAUACGUAGGGAGCAAGCGUUGUCCGGAUUUACUGGGUGUAAAGGGUGCGUAGGCGGCUUUGCAAGUCAGAAGUGAAAUCCAUGGGCUUAACCCAUGAACUGCUUUUGAAACUGCGGAGCUUGAGUGGAGUAGAGGUAGGCGGAAUUCCCGGUGUAGCGGUGAAAUGCGUAGAGAUCGGGAGGAACACCAGUGGCGAAGGCGGCCUGCUGGGCUCUAACUGACGCUGAGGCACGAAAGCGUGGGUAGCAAACAGGAUUAGAUACCCUGGUAGUCCACGCUGUAAACGAUGAUUACUAGGUGUGGGUGGACUGACCCCAUCC
Molecule: ribosomal RNA, 622 nt
Filed under: uncultured bacterium
Lineage: Bacteria
Description: bacterial SSU rRNA
Rfam family: Bacterial small subunit ribosomal RNA
Source: RNAcentral